GAUGAACGCUGGCGGCGUGCCUAAUACAUGCAAGUCGAGCGAACAGACGAGGAGCUUGCUCCUCUGACGUUUGCGGCGGACGGGUGAGUAACACGUGGAUAACCUACCUAUAAGACUGGGACAACUUCGGGAAACCGGAGCUAAUACCGGAUAAUAUAAUGAACCGCAUGGUUCAAUAGUGCAAAACGGUUUUGCUGUCACCAAUAGAUGGAUCCGCGCCGCAUUAGCUAGUUGGUAAGGUAACGGCUUACCAAGGUAACGAUGCGGAGCCGACCUGAGAGGAUGAUCGGCCACACUGGAACUGAGACACGGGCCAGACUCCUAAGGGAGGCAGCAGUAGGGAAUCUUCCGCAAUGGGCGAAAGGCUGGCGGAGCAACACCGCGUGAGUGAUGAAGGUCUUCGGAGCGUAAAACUCUGUUAUUAGGGAAAAACAAAUGUAUAAGUAACUAUGCACGUCUUGACGGUACCUAAUCAGAAAGCCACGGCUAACUACGUG
Molecule: ribosomal RNA, 497 nt
Filed under: uncultured bacterium
Lineage: Bacteria
Description: partial 16S ribosomal RNA
Rfam family: Bacterial small subunit ribosomal RNA
Source: RNAcentral